This 463-nucleotide ribosomal RNA is filed under the name uncultured bacterium. RNAcentral's name for it is "partial 16S ribosomal RNA". It matches the Rfam family "Bacterial small subunit ribosomal RNA", at positions 28 to 507 of the family's 1533-position model. The record is from RNAcentral.
GACGAACGCUGGCGGCGUGCUUAACACAUGCAAGUCGAACGGUGAACCUAUUCGGAGGGGAUCAGUGGCGAACGGGUGAGUAACACGUGGGCAACCUGCCCCCGGCUCUGGGAUAACUCCAAGAAAUUGGGGCUAAUACCGGAUGUUCACCGCUUCCCGCAUGGGUGGUGGUGGAAAGGGUUUCCGGCUGGGGAUGGGCCCGCGGCCUAUCAGCUUGUUGGUGGGGUAGUGGCCUACCAAGGCGACGACGGGUAGCCGGCCUGAGAGGGUGACCGGCCACACUGGGACUGAGACACGGCCCAGACUCCUACGGGAGGCAGCAGUGGGGAAUAUUGCGCAAUGGGCGGAAGCCUGACGCAGCGACGCCGCGUGGGGGAUGACGGCCUUCGGGUUGUAAACCUCUUUCAGCAGGGACGAAGCGCAAGUGACGGUACCUGCAGAAGAAGCACCGGCCAACUACGUG